RNAcentral lists this long non-coding RNA (681 nucleotides) under Gouania willdenowi (blunt-snouted clingfish). RNAcentral describes it as "lncRNA (ENSGWIG00000026545.1)". Lineage: Eukaryota; Metazoa; Chordata; Actinopteri; Blenniiformes; Gobiesocidae. The record is from RNAcentral.
AUGGGGAAGAUCAGUCGUGUGAUCUGUCCCUCAGAUGGCAAGUACGAAAUCCUGCAGCAUUUCUACUUCUUUCCUCUAUUUUAUUUUGAUUUAAAAGUUGCAAUAGUUUUGAUUGGUUACGUUUUUGUGAUGUUUGCAGUCGACUGGAGACGACAGUGGAUGAUUUUUCACGUGUGGAGAAUUAUGAUGACUCGGUCUUUUCUGAAAUGGGAGAUACUGAUAACAGUCACAUUCAAGUUGAAAAGGCAAAGACCGAAACCCUCCAGGAAGCUGACGAACGAACAUGGCGGAGUCCGGCGGCCCUCAGCGUAUCACGCCCUGCCGGAGAGGAUGCUCAAGUGCAAACAGAUUUCCCACCACUGCCAGAUGAUUCACAGCAACACAAGGACGAUUUCUGUAUCAGAACUGGCAUCCUCGGCUGAAUCAGCAGAAAAGAGAGAUAUGGGUACUUUGACAAACGACUUGGAUACCGCUGACCUCGAAAACAACUCGUGCCGCACCGCAGCCACAACCCAAACUGCUUCUUCUUCUUUAACAAAGAUGCCCUCGUUGAGCGCCACAGACUUGGAGUCAAAACCCAGACCCUCAAAUGAGGGUGACGAGGGACUACAUCCCAAAAGUGGGGAUGACCACGUAUACCAUUGUCCCUCAAAAGUCUCUAGAGAAACUGAGAUAUUUUGA